Molecule: ribosomal RNA, 341 nt
Filed under: uncultured bacterium
Lineage: Bacteria
Description: bacterial SSU rRNA
Rfam family: Bacterial small subunit ribosomal RNA
Source: RNAcentral
GACGAACGCUGGCGGCGUGCUUAACACAUGCAAGUCGAGCGGUAAGGCCCUUUCGGGGGUACACGAGCGGCGAACGGGUGAGUAACACGUGGGUGACCUGCCCUCAGCUCUGGGAUAAGCCUGGGAAACCGGGUCUAAUACUGGAUAUGACUCCAUGACGCAUGUUGUGGGGUGGAAAGCCUUGUGCGGCUAGAGAUGGGCCCGCGGCCUAUCAGCUUGUUGGUGGGGGAUGGCCUACCAAGGCGACGACGGGUAGCCGGCCUGAGAGGGCGACCGGCCACACUGGGACUGAGACACGGCCCAGACUCCUACGGGAGGCAGCAGUGGGGAAUCUUGCGCAA